AAUAGAUACCCGGGUAGUCCACGCCGUAAACGAUGAGUGCUAAGUGUUAGGGGGUUUCCGCCCCUUAGUGCUGCAGCUAACGCAUUAAGCACUCCGCCUGGGGAGUACGGUCGCAAGACUGAAACUCAAAGGAAUUGACGGGGGCCCGCACAAGCGGUGGAGCAUGUGGUUUAAUUCGAAGCAACGCGAAGAACCUUACCAGGUCUUGACAUCCCAUUGACCGCUAUGGAGACAUAGUUUUCCCUUCGGGGACAGUGGUGACAGGUGGUGCAUGGUUGUCGUCAGCUCGUGUCGUGAGAUGUUGGGUUAAGUCCCGCAACGAGCGCAACCCUUGUUCUUAGUUGCCAUCAUUUAGUUGGGCACUCUAAGGAGACUGCCGGUGACAAACCGGAGGAAGGUGGGGAUGACGUCAAAUCAUCAUGCCCCUUAUGACCUGGGCUACACACGUGCUACAAUGGACGGUACAAACGGUUGCCAACCCGCGAGGGGGAGCUAAUCCGAUAAAACCGUUCUCAGUUCGGAUUGUAGGCUGCAACUCGCCUACA
Molecule: ribosomal RNA, 545 nt
Filed under: uncultured bacterium
Lineage: Bacteria
Description: bacterial SSU rRNA
Rfam family: Bacterial small subunit ribosomal RNA
Source: RNAcentral